UAGGAGUACUAUUACUGCUAUACGUCAUUCUAGUAUAUGUACUUUGAAGUUAGAUAUGAUUGUGAUUAAUUUUCUCUUUGUGAUUUACUACAAAUUUAGGGGCAUAGAAAUUGCAAUAUUGUUGUUUGAUAAAAUUCUUUUGAAAUAUUUACUGAUUCGAGCAUUGUGAUAUCAAGGUAUGUUAAGAAUAGUCAGGCAAACAAUACUAUAGGUGUUUCAGAUGACAUGAGAAAAGUUGGUGUUAUUAGAGAUGGAACUACCAACUUUCUUUCCUCACUUCAUGUGACGUUCUCAUGGAAUUGAAGCUGAUCGAAGCAUUUCAUGGGUAUGUUAGUAAGAAUAUCGGUAAACUGUGUAAUGAGUUUUGAUGCAUUCCCAUUCCCUGAUUUCCAUGUAUUGAAAUUGUGAGUCUAUAUCUAGUUCAAGGAAAUUAAUUGGUAGGUUAUAAGUGAAGAAUAUUAUGUCAUGGAAUUAUAUGAUUUUCGGCAAUGAAAAACAUGGCAAUGCUUUUGAAAUUCUCAAACUUUUGAAUUACAAAUAAAGUGACUAUCAUAUCUAUUUGUGGCGCUUGUAAUCCAAUCUUAACUCACUAGAUUAUUUAUUUAAUCUCUCAUAUUAAUUCAAGAUUGUCAUACAAUUGUUAUGGAAUCUUGGAAAGGCCAUAUACAUCAAGAUAUGGCGAGGGAAGUCUUUAUACUGGUGCAUAUUCUUUAGAGCCUGGUUCCUUCCAAUCUCAUGGAGGGAGUUUCUACUCACUUGAAAGUUGUUUUGGAUGACUUUGGACAUGAUACUUUGUUAGUUAAUGCCUUACUUCGAUCAUGAAUUCCCAAGGAAAUAUUUGAAGGAUGGUGUAAUGAUCCCACUAUGAAUCAUGUUGGUGAAGAUGGGGAUGUCCAUAUUGAAGAUGAACAAGUGGAGGAGUACACAAAGAAGGUUGUAACUAAAAUGGAGGUUGCUCGAGAAGCAUUACAAACCAUGGUGUAUAUUCAACAUCAAGGAUAGUAGAAAAUGGUUAUUUCUUAUUUGUGAACGCACCAUUAUGUAGGGUGUGUCCAAUUUUGUUUCAAAUCAGUUGAGGGAAAGGAGAGGGAUUCAUUCACGUUUAUGCAUUGGGUUGGUUAGGAGAGUAUUCUUGGGAAUAUGAGUUGAGGCUUUGGAAUAUUAAUCUUUUAUGAGCAUCAUUGCAUUUGUCUUUGAUUCCAUGAUACAAAUACAACAUAUUUCACUCCACUGUUUCUUGUUUUAUUCUUUAUUAAUUUUGCUACCAUUGUUAUUGUCGUCAACUUCUUGAAACAAAGAAGCAAUUCCUUUAUCCCGCACAUAACCAAUAAGCUUUGUUUAAUGAUUUUCAUGGUUUUCGACAAUUAUGUCGGCUUCUUUCGGUG
This 1385-nucleotide long non-coding RNA is filed under the name Cicer arietinum (chickpea). Its description in RNAcentral is "long non-coding RNA (CARI_LNC003490)". The record is from RNAcentral. Lineage: Eukaryota; Viridiplantae; Streptophyta; Magnoliopsida; Fabales; Fabaceae.